This 406-nucleotide ribosomal RNA is filed under the name uncultured bacterium. Its description in RNAcentral is "partial 16S ribosomal RNA". It matches the Rfam family "Bacterial small subunit ribosomal RNA", at positions 30 to 526 of the family's 1533-position model. The record is from RNAcentral.
AUUGAACGCUGGCGGCAAGCCUAACACAUGCAAGUCGAACGAGUGGCGGACGGGUGAGUAAUGUCUGGGAAACUGCCUGAUGGAGGGGGAUAACUACUGGAAACGGUAGCUAAUACCGCCUACCAUCGGAUGUGCCCAGAUGGGAUUAGCUAGGAGGUGGGGUAAAGUCUAACCUAGGAGACGAUCCCUAGCGGGUCUGAGAGGAUGACCAGCCACACUGGACUUGAGCCACGGUCCAGACUCCUACGGGAGUCAGCAGUGGGGAAUAUUGCACAAGUGGCGCAAGCCUGAUGCAGCCAUGCCGCGUGUAUGAAGAAGGCCUUCGGGUUGUAAAGUACUUUCAGCGGGGAGGCGUUACCCGCAGAAGAAGCACCGGCUAACUCCGUGCCAGCAGCCGCGGUAAUAC